GAGAGCCGGGAAGGAAGAUGGCGUCGGGGUUUGUGAGGCCGCGUCGCCUGAGGGGACGGUGUCCCCGGCGGGCUGGGACCGAAGGGCAGCCUGGGGUCUGUCGAGGAGCCCGUGCAUGCGGCCCCUGAGUCUCUGCCCACGACGGGCCCGGGAGCGUCCCGACGUCCCCAGGGGCCGCCCAGGGCCACCUCCCCCGGGCGAGUUGAAAUGCGCAGGCUCAGACCCGCCCGCACCGCCUGCGUCCCAGGCCACGUGUCCCCCAGGCGCAGGGGCCGCGUGUGCUCCUUGACCUCGGGGAGCACCUGUCCUGCGCCGUGCCCGGUCCCGCUGUCGGCGCUCCUGUCGCUACAGAUUCUUCUCCAGAAUUCCCUCUGGGUGAUGAAACGCGUCUCCAUGGAAACACCUCGAGGGUGGAUUACCUGGGCUCUUUUAAAUGGCACUGAGAAGAAUGUGGCAGGUGCAGAAUUGCCUUCCAGAACCUUCCAGCUCAGCCUGGCCAGCAGCUGGAGCAGCUGAGGGAGUGACCCAGCCAGGCCAGGUGGAGCAGAGAGCCACCAGCGGGGCCCCGCCUGAAAUCUGACCCCAGGACUGUGGGGAGACAGGAACCACUGACGUUUGAAGCCACAACCCUUUUGGAAGGUCUGUCCCGCAAGAAGAGAUAACCGACUCAGAGGGGGCACAGGUGGACUGGCCUGGAGUGUCACCAGCGGGGAGGAGCUCCCAGGUUAGAAUGAAGGGAGCAGGAGCAUGUCCCUAUUCUUGCUCUGUCUGCAAUGACCAAGGCCUCCCGAGUUUCAUGGUAAGUCGACAAUGACCUGGGCUUCUGCCCUGCAUCCCAAGGUGUGUCUACACUGGUGUGGCCCAGCUGUCUCCCUGGUCCCCCAAGUGGGUCUCUACUGGCCUGGAGCAUCUUCCUUGUCACCCUCCUGUGAUUCAGUGAAUAGAAUUUCUUCACGGUUUCCCCGACACGUCAACACCAACCUGAGGUGUCUCCCUGGUUACUUGGUGGUUCCGCACUGAGCGGAGAUGUCUGUAUGGUCACCCUGAUGUGUCCACACUGGAUGGCUCCCUGUUUUCUUAGGUGUUGUCUACACUGUCCUGGCAUAUCCGUCUGGUCUCCCUUGUGUGCUGACACAGACCAGAGGUGUUCUUGUUCCUCUACUGUGUGAACACAGACCUCAGAUUUCCCCGAAGUUUCUUUCUGUGUCUGUCCAUUUCUCCAUAUCUCCUUAGUACUCCUGCUGGGGUUACACUGGCUUGGAUGUCUCAUUGCUUCUGCUCCUGUGUCUACACCCACCCUGGUUAUCUCCCUCCCCCUACUUUAUUUAUACUGACCUGGUGGUCUCCCCACCUCUCCUGCUGAGCCUACACUGAGCCUGCGGUGGCUCCCCAGCCCCCCGGGCCUGCACGGGCCACAUGAGCUCCGUCAAGGUUUGCUGGCAAACCAGCCUGGAGCCGGUGCUCAGGGCCCCUCCCUGCCCAGCCCACAGUUCUCAGCCAGGGGCACUGGCUCCAGUCUGGAGGCGUCAGUUCGGGACUCUUUCCUGGCCUGGGAAUCUGUUUCACACAAACUCUUAUGUCAGCAAGUUAACAAGCCCCCACCCCCCGGGGCAGGUGCUGCCUCCUGCCCUCCCCCGAGCUGGACCGCCCAGCGCGGGGCCGCCUGGGCCGGAGCCGGAGCCACAGAGCAGAGGCCCAGUGGCUGGGAGAGAAGGGCUGGCUUCCUCCACCCCGAGGACCGGCCCCGUGUCCCAGGGGGGAGCGGCGGUGCCCGCGGCCCGUGACCCAGGCACCGAGCCCGACGGAAGGGAGGUGAGGUGGGGUCAGCGGUCGAAGCGAGAGGCCUACCCGAGUCUCAGACGCCUGUCCCUGCAUCUCAGGCCGCAGCCCCGAGGGUUCGGGCCCCUUCCCCAGUCGGGGCCUCGGACAGCCCCCUUGAGGCCCCCCCAGGUGAGGCCCCCUAAGUGUGGACUGCCCCCCCUAGUUAUGGACCCCGGGGUGAGGGUCCCUCGGUGUGGACCCCCCUAGAUACAGACUCCAGGUAAGGUUCCCCCGGAUGUGGGCUCCCAGGUGAGGCCCCUUGAGAAGCCCCUACAGGUGAGGGCCCAGAGAGCUGCCUUCGGGGGUCUGAGCUCAUGGACUUGACGGGGACCAGGCCUGGUCAUGCACGGGGUCUUCUGGGAGGGAGGCCCACACGUCCCCUGCGCUCACCCUCAGGCCGGUCUCUGGGAACAGGGCUGCGCGUCUCUAGACAGGGGGGUUGGCACCAGCAGUCGGGACGCCUGGGUCCCCACGGUUCCCUGGCCUCUGUGCCCCCUGGGGAACUCAGGGCGGGUCUCGUGCAUCGCCCACACCUGCCUGAGUCCCCAGGUGAGUGGCUUUGCAGCAAAUGCCCGAGCGUGGGUGGGAGGGAGCCCUGCCAGGGGCGGCCCAGCGCCCUGCUGGGUGUCACCUGCAGCUCAGCCCAGG
Acinonyx jubatus (cheetah) is the source of this 2469-nucleotide long non-coding RNA. RefSeq lists it as uncharacterized. NCBI's taxonomy places the organism in Eukaryota, Metazoa, Chordata, Mammalia, Carnivora, Felidae. The transcript is spliced from 3 exons. The record is from RefSeq and is a predicted model, not a curated record.